UAAUUUUUCGAUCAAUCAAAU
Molecule: non-coding RNA, 21 nt
Organism: Caenorhabditis elegans
Lineage: Eukaryota; Metazoa; Nematoda; Chromadorea; Rhabditida; Rhabditidae
Source: Ensembl